GUUCCGUCAAAAUGUAUUAAUGCCCAGCGUGAAGGAGGAUACUGCUGAAGCCAUGUUGCUGCAUCUGAAGAAACCUCCUCAAUUUCAGCCAUUUUCUCUUUAAACCCCCUGGUGGACGUGGAAUACGCAGCUUUCCACAGGAGUUGCACAAGCCUUGAGUUCUUGAAAUCUCUACUGAUGCUUUCACUCAGAUACUGCAUACAUAUAGCAUGACAACAAGAGAGAAACUGCCUUUUCACAGCAU
This 244-nucleotide unclassified non-coding RNA is filed under the name Hevea brasiliensis (rubber tree). The record is from RNAcentral. Lineage: Eukaryota; Viridiplantae; Streptophyta; Magnoliopsida; Malpighiales; Euphorbiaceae.